This is a long non-coding RNA of Neofelis nebulosa (Clouded leopard), 3606 nucleotides long. RefSeq lists it as uncharacterized. The record is from RefSeq and is a predicted model, not a curated record. NCBI's taxonomy places the organism in Eukaryota, Metazoa, Chordata, Mammalia, Carnivora, Felidae. The transcript has 2 exons.
CUCUUUUCUUCUCUUCUCUUUUCAUGUAAAAUGGUGAUAAUAAUGCUGUCCCUGUGGAGUACCUGGCAUAUAUAGAUGUUCAAUGCAUACUCUGUUUUUAAUGUUUUUCUAAUUUUUUUUUUUUUUAAUUUUUGAGAGAAAGAGAGACAGAGUGUGAGCAGGGAAGGGGCAGAGAGAGAGGGAGACACAGAGUCUGAAGCAGGCUCCAGGCUCUGAGCUGCCAGCACAGAGCCCGUCGCGGGGCUCAAACCCACCAACUGCGAGAUCACGACCUGAGCCUAGUCAGACACUUAACCCACCGAGCCACCCAGGCGCCCCUGUUCAAUGAAUAUUAAAUACUACUUUUAUUAGUUAUCUAAAAGAAACCAUUCCCUGUUUAUGUUUCAUUCUAACCAUGGUGUUAGGAAAUGGGAAAAAAAAUGUAUAAACAAAACCAAGCCAAAUAAAUGCGGGCUCUUCGCAUCAGUUUGCCCUACCCAUUCUAACUUUUCUCAGAUCUAACUGAUCUCUAUUUGAUAUAUUUCUGAAGCACCCCCUUUUCCCUGCAGCACUGUCACCCCGUGGGAUCUCCGCACGUGUGAGAAAGCUAUGUGCCACACUGAUUAAGAGUGUGGCUGAGUCUGAAUCUUACAUUUUCCUCUUACUGACUUGGGUGCCUUUGGGCAACUUUAUCUGACCACCAGGUACCUAUAAAAAGGGGAUAAUAAUAGUGCCUGUCUCCUGGAGUUGUGGUGAUAAUUUAGUUAAUACCUGUAAAGCACCUGGAACAGUGCCCGGCAGGUAAUAGGUGAUCCACAAAUGCCAGCUAUGAUUAAGUGCUAGCAAUUAGGACUAACAGAAUGCUUGCCCCUUUCUCUCUUCUGAAAGCACCUAUUCAUUCAGGAGGCCUGACUUCCUAUUGUGAGGAUUGCUUUCCCUUGAUCUCCUUUUUUGCUUCCUUCCCAAUCGUCCAGGAAAGAGGGCAAAGUGUUAUGUGGGUACAGCCUACAGCCCCCUUAAGUUGUCACCACAGUUGUCCUGGGUGGCAGUAUUGAAGACCUGAGUGCCAGUGAGUCCCUUCUUGAUUUCCAGUCUGGGCUUCCUCAUUAUUCACAUGAACACACUUCAUUAAAACGGGGUUGUAGUGGACCAUUAAAGGUGCUCCGGUUCUGACAUGGCUACGACUGUCACCUGGGGUUCGAAUUCACAUGGACUUCUCUGUACCCCACGUUAGACUGUCAUCUUCCUGAGGGCAAAGGACCAUAUCCUAACUCCUUACAGUUACAGCAGCUACUACACACCCAGGGACACUCAGUAAACCGCCACCUAACUGAACGGACGGACGCAGUCACAUUCGAAGCAUAGUGCACUAGCCCUCUGUUCGGCAACAGAGGAAACUUCCUAGUUCGUUUUGGGACAAUCGUGGAACUUUAACAUGUGCAGGGAUACUCUGACACAUCUAUUUUCUGUCUUCCUACCUUCUUCCAAGCUUUAUCAUUCUUGCUGGUUCAUUGUCCCCUCAAACAUAACUCGUGUGUUGCUGCCCCGGUGCCUUUACUCUCGCGUUUGCCUUUCCCUCCCUUUCUGCUUGGCUUAGUCUCCACUCAUACCUCCCGUGAAUGUUUCCUUCUCCGUCCCACACAUUCCCCUUCCUCUGACCUCCCGUAGCAUCUGCCGUCUAAACGAAUUAGCUGCCACUUAACAUUCACCACUGCUGUGUGUUCUUAGUUAUCAUUUCACAAGAAAGAUCCCUAACUGGACCUUCAAUUCCUCGAAGCAAUGGCCACGUCUUCCACUCCUGUGCCCAGCAUUGUAGCUCACACUUGGUGCACCAAUAACUAAGUAAUUGUUGCUGGCGCCACUUGGUCUAAACCACUUUAAACAUACUGCAAUGCAAAAUAACAGUACAUGUAGCACCACGGAACAUUAAUUUGUGGGUGAACAGGAAGGUGUGAUGCGUGAAACACAUCAGGACAGAAAUGCAGGUAGAAUUGGAGCUUGAUCAGUUGCUGUUAACUCUCCUGCAUUAGUUUUGUUUGCUGAGUCUUCUUACCGUUGUUCACUUUGGGCUUUGGGGCCGGGGUUGUGGGGUAAGGGCAUUUAACUGCAUGCGAGUCGCAUGCCCUAACAAAUAAAAACCCUACUGCAGAAUUUGUUUAUUUUACCACGAAAGGUUUCAAAACAAAACAUGAGACAACUAGUGCCUCUCUGCCAUCUGUUCUGAAGAAGUGUGGGGAAGGCGUAGACGGGGGUGCAGUGUUAUAUGCACAGUUCCCUCCUCCUCUUCAAACCUUUCAGGAACAUGGUGCUAAUGACCGUGGUGUGGAUAUCACCCAAAUUUACAGCGUGCGGCAAUGUAUCUGAGCGUCUUGAUUAUGACAAAAUUCACAGCUACCAAACCCAAAGCCGCGUAAAGAAUCGUCAACGCGCACGAUGCUGGAAGGUCACGUGAAUUCUUGCUUCGUAUUUGAAAUCCUGGUAGGUGCCUCUUUUAAAACGCAGCCGGAGGGAAAAGCAUUACCAGCCAUCGCUCCAAAUCUCAGAGCAGCCAGUGACCGAGGAUCUUGUGCCGAGGACCAAGGUUGGCCCUGACACCGGACACUCUGCCCCAACUGCCAAGAGCAUCUGGUCCCACGCAUUUUCCUUAGUGUGCGUUCCUUCAUUAAAACGUUUUGUAUCUCUUCCUUGUCUGAAUAUCACCACCUGGGUCGUGCGUCAGCACUGUGUGCAGCUACAUCAGCAGCUUCCUUCACUCAUCACGCCAUUGACAUUGGCCUUCCAUUCUACGUCCACAAGGGAGAGAAGGGAGAGAAGAACGUUCCAUUGGUUGGAAGCUAUGAAAGAACACUUUCACAUGGGUGUGGGCUGCCUCAAGUCACCGGCUGGGCAGGGAGCCCUGGCCUCCCGUUAGCCUCUGCUUGCGUCAGCGCGGCUCCCUGCUUUCCUCACGGCGCGCGCCCCGGGACCGUGCCAUCCACGUGCGGCCGUGAGACCCUUUUGAGGCCGCCUCCUCUCCCCGUCUCCUUGCCACGCGCGGCCGAGCUCCCUUUCGUCCCUCCCUGUUUCGGGGUCACUUCCUCCAGCCUCAGCACCAGCUUCCGGUUUUUCUCUGCUCCAUCCGCGCGGUCUUCCGGGAGCAGCUGAGAGGAGGGACUCCGAGAGGAGGGACUUCCGGCUCCUGUCUCCACGCUCCAGGCGGUCGUCCUUCCCUUCGCGCCUCCCGCCACCUCGCGACCCCCCGCAGGUGGGCUCAGGUGGCAGGUCCCAGGGCGUGUGCGGCGUGAGGAAGGCAGAGUUCCGGCGCCCUCGGACCUUCCAGCGCAGGGCAGGGAGUGUGAGGGCGGACAGGCGAAGGCGCUCGUGCCCGGUGGCGGUGGAGCCACCAAAGAGGAGACAACAGGGGCCGUGAACAGUGCUGCUGGGGACAAUAGGAAUGCGAUUCACUGAAAAGGUCCCGGAAGCAUGAAGGGAAUAGAGUGCCUUACCUUAGAACAGGACUAGUGUUCAGUGAUUUGGGAUUCAACCACCAGUGCCCCCGGCGUUUUGUAAAGCGUUCCCUUUAUAAAAAGCACCCACUUGGAAAGAUCGCAAUAACUGCAGGAAAGCAACAAAAGAGAAAGAAAGUGA